GCGUGCCGGCCGGGGGACGGACUGGGA
This 27-nucleotide small nuclear RNA is filed under the name Arabidopsis thaliana (thale cress). RNAcentral describes it as "snRNA_17625". Lineage: Eukaryota; Viridiplantae; Streptophyta; Magnoliopsida; Brassicales; Brassicaceae. The record is from RNAcentral.